RNAcentral lists this ribosomal RNA (1261 nucleotides) under Salmonella enterica subsp. enterica serovar Bareilly. RNAcentral describes it as "partial 23S ribosomal RNA". It matches the Rfam family "Bacterial large subunit ribosomal RNA", at positions 1660 to 2898 of the family's 2925-position model. Lineage: Bacteria; Pseudomonadati; Pseudomonadota; Gammaproteobacteria; Enterobacterales; Enterobacteriaceae. The record is from RNAcentral.
CAGGUGGUCAGGUAGAGAAUACCAAGGCGCUUGAGAGAACUCGGGUGAAGGAACUAGGCAAAAUGGUGCCGUAACUUCGGGAGAAGGCACGCUGACACGUAGGUGAAGUGAUUUACUCAUGGAGCUGAAGUCAGUCGAAGAUACCAGCUGGCUGCAACUGUUUAUUAAAAACACAGCACUGUGCAAACACGAAAGUGGACGUAUACGGUGUGACGCCUGCCCGGUGCCGGAAGGUUAAUUGAUGGGGUCAGCGCAAGCGAAGCUCCUGAUCGAAGCCCCGGUAAACGGCGGCCGUAACUAUAACGGUCCUAAGGUAGCGAAAUUCCUUGUCGGGUAAGUUCCGACCUGCACGAAUGGCGUAAUGAUGGCCAGGCUGUCUCCACCCGAGACUCAGUGAAAUUGAACUCGCUGUGAAGAUGCAGUGUACCCGCGGCAAGACGGAAAGACCCCGUGAACCUUUACUAUAGCUUGACACUGAACAUUGAGCCUUGAUGUGUAGGAUAGGUGGGAGGCUUUGAAGCGUGGACGCCAGUCUGCGUGGAGCCGACCUUGAAAUACCACCCUUUAAUGUUUGAUGUUCUAACGUGGACCCGUAAUCCGGGUUGCGGACAGUGUCUGGUGGGUAGUUUGACUGGGGCGGUCUCCUCCUAAAGAGUAACGGAGGAGCACGAAGGUUGGCUAAUCCUGGUCGGACAUCAGGAGGUUAGUGCAAUGGCAUAAGCCAGCUUGACUGCGAGCGUGACGGCGCGAGCAGGUGCGAAAGCAGGUCAUAGUGAUCCGGUGGUUCUGAAUGGAAGGGCCAUCGCUCAACGGAUAAAAGGUACUCCGGGGAUAACAGGCUGAUACCGCCCAAGAGUUCAUAUCGACGGCGGUGUUUGGCACCUCGAUGUCGGCUCAUCACAUCCUGGGGCUGAAGUAGGUCCCAAGGGUAUGGCUGUUCGCCAUUUAAAGUGGUACGCGAGCUGGGUUUAGAACGUCGUGAGACAGUUCGGUCCCUAUCUGCCGUGGGCGCUGGAGAACUGAGGGGGGCUGCUCCUAGUACGAGAGGACCGGAGUGGACGCAUCACUGGUGUUCGGGUUGUCAUGCCAAUGGCACUGCCCGGUAGCUAAAUGCGGAAGAGAUAAGUGCUGAAAGCAUCUAAGCACGAAACUUGCCCCGAGAUGAGUUCUCCCUGAGACUUAGAGUCUCCUGAAGGAACGUUGAAGACGACGACGUUGAUAGGCCGGGUGUGUAAGCGCAGCGAUGCGUUGAGCUAACCGG